UACGUAGGGUGCGAGCGUUGUCCGGAAUUAUUGGGCGUAAAGGGCGCGUAGGCGGCCCGGCGCGUCCGCAGUGAAAGCUCCCGGCUCAACUGGGAGAGGUCCGCGGAAACGGUCGGGCUGGAGCAAGGUAGGGGGUCGUGGAAUUCCCGGUGUAGUGGUGGAAUGCGUAGAGAUCGGGAGGAACACCAGUGGCGAAGGCGGCGACCUGGACCUGUGCUGACGCUGAGGCGCGAAAGCGUGGGGAGCGAUCCGG
RNAcentral lists this ribosomal RNA (253 nucleotides) under uncultured bacterium. RNAcentral describes it as "partial 16S ribosomal RNA". It matches the Rfam family "Bacterial small subunit ribosomal RNA", at positions 524 to 776 of the family's 1533-position model. The record is from RNAcentral.